This is a long non-coding RNA of Ictalurus punctatus (channel catfish), 649 nucleotides long. Lineage: Eukaryota; Metazoa; Chordata; Actinopteri; Siluriformes; Ictaluridae. The record is from Ensembl.
CUUGACUCAGCUACCCUUAUAAAUGGCUCCUCAUGGUUCUCUCUUAAAAUUAAGGCCCCCGUCUACACCACGCCUGACCCUUCCUCGCGAGACAAGAAUCUUCACCAUCUGAAUUAUGAGUGCCCGUCGUCAUUUUUCCUUCUCUCCUUUACUGGAGGGGCUGGAUUUGGAUCUGAACACUCACUAUCAGCUCGCGCAUCUCACUGCUGACAUCAAUGUGCUACUUAACGUUCUUCGCAGCACCCCCUCUGGAAAUGGAAAUGCGGGGUCCCCCCCCAGAUACAGAAUCCACCCCGGGAAUGUGUGUAUUGACGCCUCUACACAGACAGACCCUCCGCCUGACCCUCCCUCCAGCUUUCAGUCUGAGGAUGAUGUCACCUUCUCUGAUCUGGGCUCUGACCAUUCUUCCCUCUUCUCACCUGUCAGUCCGCUGUACUCUCAGUGUUCUCCUUAUUUCACCCUUGCUGACUAUCCCAUGUCCCCAGGACGCACCCCAUUUUCUUCCCCCUACCGCUCUCCUCAAGAUUACGCACCCACCAGUCCUGUGAAUUUUCAAUAAAAUUACAUAUUACUCAUACUAGGUCUCCCUCAUGUUUAUUUCAUGUCAUUUUUAUCCACAACAGUUGACAGGACCCAUGGAGACACAUUU